GCCAGUGUGGCUUAGUGGUUUGAGUGUUGGCCUAUGACUGGUCACCAGGGUUCGAUUCUCUGCUCGGCCA
Phrynosoma platyrhinos (Desert horned lizard) is the source of this 70-nucleotide non-coding RNA. The record is from the annotation of a GenBank genome assembly. Lineage: Eukaryota; Metazoa; Chordata; Lepidosauria; Squamata; Phrynosomatidae.